RNAcentral lists this ribosomal RNA (578 nucleotides) under Serratia marcescens. Its description in RNAcentral is "bacterial LSU rRNA". It matches the Rfam family "Bacterial large subunit ribosomal RNA", at positions 2242 to 2819 of the family's 2925-position model. Lineage: Bacteria; Pseudomonadati; Pseudomonadota; Gammaproteobacteria; Enterobacterales; Yersiniaceae. The record is from RNAcentral. RNAcentral also lists the same sequence under 1 other name.
GGGGUGAGGACAGUGUCUGGUGGGUAGUUUGACUGGGGCGGUCUCCUCCCAAAGAGUAACGGAGGAGCACGAAGGUUAGCUAAUCACGGUCGGACAUCGUGAGGUUAGUGCAAAGGCAUAAGCUAGCUUGACUGCGAGAGUGACGGCUCGAGCAGGUACGAAAGUAGGUCUUAGUGAUCCGGUGGUUCUGAAUGGAAGGGCCAUCGCUCAACGGAUAAAAGGUACUCCGGGGAUAACAGGCUGAUACCGCCCAAGAGUUCAUAUCGACGGCGGUGUUUGGCACCUCGAUGUCGGCUCAUCACAUCCUGGGGCUGAAGUAGGUCCCAAGGGUAUGGCUGUUCGCCAUUUAAAGUGGUACGCGAGCUGGGUUUAGAACGUCGUGAGACAGUUCGGUCCCUAUCUGCCGUGGGCGUUGGAAGAUUGAGAGGGGUUGCUCCUAGUACGAGAGGACCGGAGUGAACGCACCACUGGUGUUCGGGUUGUCAUGCCAAUGGCAUUGCCCGGUAGCUAAGUGCGGAAAAGAUAAGCGCUGAAAGCAUCUAAGCGCGAAACUUGCCUCAAGAUGAGUCUUCCCUGGG